RNAcentral lists this unclassified non-coding RNA (379 nucleotides) under uncultured Micrococcaceae bacterium. RNAcentral's name for it is "contains 16S-23S intergenic spacer region". The record is from RNAcentral. Lineage: Bacteria; Bacillati; Actinomycetota; Actinomycetes; Micrococcales; Micrococcaceae.
UCCGAGUUGACCCCGGCAGUCUCCCAUGAGUCCCCGGCACUACCCGCUGGCAACAUAGGACAAGGGUUGCGCUCGUUGCGGGACUUAACCCAACAUCUUACGACACGAGCUGACGACAACCAUGCACCACCUGUACACCAGCCCCGAAGGGAAACUACAUCUCUGCAGCGAUCCAGUGUAUGUCAAGCCUUGGUAAGGUUCUUCGCGUUGCAUCGAAUUAAUCCGCAUGCUCCGCCGCUUGUGCGGGCCCCCGUCAAUUCCUUUGAGUUUUAGCCUUGCGGCCGUACUCCCCAGGCGGGGCACUUAAUGCGUUAGCUACGGCGCGGAAAACGAGGAACGCUCCCCACACCUAGUGCCCAACGUUUACGGCAUGGACUAC